This 322-nucleotide ribosomal RNA is filed under the name uncultured Denitrovibrio sp. RNAcentral's name for it is "bacterial SSU rRNA". It matches the Rfam family "Bacterial small subunit ribosomal RNA", at positions 1064 to 1382 of the family's 1533-position model. The record is from RNAcentral. Lineage: Bacteria; Pseudomonadati; Deferribacterota; Deferribacteres; Deferribacterales; Geovibrionaceae.
GCCGUGAGGUGUUGGGUUAAGUCCCGCAACGAGCGCAACCCUACGUUUUUAGUUGCCAUCAGGUUAAGCUGGGCGACUCUAAAGAGACUGCCGUCGAUAAGGCGGAGGAAGGUGGGGACGACGUCAAGUCAUCAUGGCCCUUAUGUCUAGGGCUACACACGUGCUACAAUGGGUUAUACAGAGGGCAGCUAGCUCGCGAGAGUCUGCGAAUCCCUUAAAGUAAUCCUCAGUUCGGAUUGUAGUCUGCAACUCGACUACAUGAAGUUGGAAUCGCUAGUAAUCGCAGGUCAGCAAAACUGCGGUGAAUACGUUCCCGGGCCUU